Molecule: ribosomal RNA, 468 nt
Filed under: uncultured bacterium
Lineage: Bacteria
Description: partial 16S ribosomal RNA
Rfam family: Bacterial small subunit ribosomal RNA
Source: RNAcentral
GACGAACGCUGGCGGCGUGCUUAACACAUGCAAGUCGAACGGAAAGGCCCUGCUUUUGUGGGGUGCUCGAGUGGCGAACGGGUGAGUAACACGUGAGUAACCUGCCCUUGACUUUGGGAUAACUUCUGGAAACUGGGGCUAAUACCGGAUAGGAGCUCCUGCUGCAUGGUGGGGGUUGGAAAGUUUCGGCGGUUGGGGAUGGACUCGCGGCUUAUCAGCUUGUUGGUGGGGUAGUGGCUUACCAAGGCUUUGACGGGUAGCCGGCCUGAGAGGGUUACCGGCCACAUUGGGACUGAGAUACGGAGCAGACUCCUACGGGAGGCAGCAGUGGGGAAUAUUGCACAGUGGGGGGAAGCCUGAUGCAGCAACGCCGCGUGCGGGAUGACGGCCUUCGGGUGAUAAACCGAUUUCGCCUGUGACGAAGCGUGAGUGACGGUAAUGGGUAAAGAAGCCCCGGCUAACUACGUG